GAUUGAACGCUGGCGGCAGGCCUAACACAUGCAAGUCGAACGGUAACAGGAAGAAGCUUGCUUCUUUGCUGACGAGUGGCGGACGGGUGAGUAAUGUCUGGGAAACUGCCUGAUGGAGGGGGAUAACUACUGGAAACGGUAGCUAAUACCGCAUAACGUCGCAAGACCAAAGAGGGGGACCUUAGGGCCUCUUGCCAUCGGAUGUGCCCAGAUGGGAUUAGCUAGUAGGUGGGGUAAAGGCUCACCUAGGCGACGAUCCCUAGCUGGUCUGAGAGGAUGACCAGCCACACUGGAACUGAGACACGGUCCAGACUCCUACGGGAGGCAGCAGUGGGGAAUAUUGCACAAUGGGCGCAAGCCUGAUGCAGCCAUGCCGCGUGUAUGAAGAAGGCCUUCGGGUUGUAAAGUACUUUCAGCGGGGAGGAAGGUGUUGUGGUUAAUAACCACAGCAAUUGACGUUACCCGCAGAAGAAGCACCGGCUAACUCCGUGCCAGCAGCCGCGGUAAUACGGAGGGUGCAAGCGUUAAUCGGAAUUACUGGGCGUAAAGCGCACGCAGGCGGUCUGUCAAGUCGGAUGUGAAAUCCCCGGGCUCAACCUGGGAACUGCAUUCGAAACUGGCAGGCUUGAGUCUCGUAGAGGGGGGUAGAAUUCCAGGUGUAGCGGUGAAGUGCGUAGAGAUCUGGAGGAAUACCGGUGGCGAAGGCGGCCCCUGGACGAAGACUGACGCUCAGGUGCGAAAGCGUGGGGGAGCAAACAGGAUUAGAUACCCUGGUAGUCCACGCCGUAAACGAUGUCUAUUUGGAGGUUGUGCCCUUGAGGUGUGGCUUCCGGAGCUAACGCGUUAAAUAGACCGCCUGGGGAGUACGGCCGCAAGGUUAAAACUCAAAUGAAUUGACGGGGGCCCGCACAAGCGGUGGAGCAUGUGGUUUAAUUCGAUGCAACGCGAAGAACCUUACCUGGUCUUGACAUCCACAGAACUUUCCAGAGAUGGAGGGGUGCCUUCGGGAACUGUGAGACAGGUGCUGCAUGGCUGUCGUCAGCUCGUGUUGUGAAAUGUUGGGUUAAGUCCCGCAACGAGCGCAACCCUUAUCCUUUGUUGCCAGCGGUUAGGCCGGGAACUCAAAGGAGACUGCCAGUGAUAAACUGGAGGAAGGUGGGGAUGACGUCAAGUCAUCAUGGCCCUUACGACCAGGGCUACACACGUGCUACAAUGGCGCAUACAAAGAGAAGCGAACUCGCGAGAGCAAGCGGACCUCAUAAAGUGCGUCGUAGUCCGGACUGGAGUCUGCAACUCGACUCCAUGAAGUCGGAAUCGCUAGUAAUCGUGGAUCAGAAUGCCACGGUGAAUACGUUCCCGGGCCUUGUACACACCGC
RNAcentral lists this ribosomal RNA (1376 nucleotides) under uncultured Gammaproteobacteria bacterium. RNAcentral describes it as "bacterial SSU rRNA". It matches the Rfam family "Bacterial small subunit ribosomal RNA", at positions 27 to 1393 of the family's 1533-position model. The record is from RNAcentral. Lineage: Bacteria; Pseudomonadati; Pseudomonadota; Gammaproteobacteria.